GGGUGUUGACGCGAUGUGAUUUCUGCCCAGUGCUCUGAAUGUAGCCAAAUGCCUCGUCUAUCCAGCGAAACCACAGCCAAGGGAACGGGCUUGGCGGAAUCAGCGGGGAAAGAAGACCCUGUUGAGCUUGACUCUAGUCUGGCAUGGUGAAGAGACAUGAGAGGUGUAGAAUAAGUGGGAGGCCCCUGGCGCCCCCCCGUACCCG
This 205-nucleotide long non-coding RNA is filed under the name Homo sapiens (human). RNAcentral describes it as "HSALNT0347619". It matches the Rfam family "Eukaryotic large subunit ribosomal RNA", at positions 2176 to 2491 of the family's 3401-position model. Lineage: Eukaryota; Metazoa; Chordata; Mammalia; Primates; Hominidae. The record is from RNAcentral.